UGCCAGACCCCGGGGGUGGAGAGAGAUGGCCAGCUGGUUCCUUAGCACAGGGUCUCCUGUCACCGCAGGCAUCAGACACCACAGCAGGGUGACAGUCCAGCCCUAGGAGCCACAGAGGCUCCCUCCAGCUAGACUGGGACUCCGGCUGGCAGUGAUUCUGCCCCCUGCCAGGGGACGGCUGGCCUUGAUUGGGGACACCUUGGGUGUCACGAUUAGGAGGUUGCUAUUGUCCUCUGGUGAGUACAGGCCAGGGAUGUCACUAAAUGUCCUACCAUGUGCAGGACAGCCCCCUGGACAGAGGCUUAUUCAGCCCCACAGGCUGAGACGGAGAUAUGCUGCUCCUGAGGGGUGCUGUCCAGGGCAGUGGCCACCUGGACACGUGGCUGCUGAGCGCUCGCAACGCGACGGGUCCACACUGAGAAGUGCCGUCAGCUAAUACCCCCACUGUACUUCAAAAACAGCACGGAAGGACCUAAAGUAUCUCAAUAGCGACCUUUAUAUGGAGGACAGACGGGUCAAAUGAUUGGAUUAAGUAAAAACUAAUUGCGCCUGCUUGUUAUGACCCUCAGAGACCCCAGGCCACCUCUGAGACCUGCACAAGGGACAACAGAGGCCCAGGCCCAGGUGAGGCAGAAGCUGGGGCUGAGGCCAGGGCAGGAGCAGUGGAGAGGAGCCCCAGGGCUUGAUGGUAUCGGCAUGGCCCCUGUGGCCUGCGCCCCAUUUCUUUUGGACGGUGCUGGUCUAGAUUGCUCAGCCUCUCCUGGUGGCGGGGGAACCCCGAGGGCAGCUGGGGGGUGCAGAUCUUUGUGGCUGUGGCUGGUGUCUUGAGGAAGGACAAAGACUAUUGUCAUACCCCUGUGGCCUGCCAGAGGGAGAGUGAGUUGGCACCUGCUCCACUCCUGGCCUCGCCCAGGCUGGGCCUGGCUCUGCCAGGACAAACGAGGGCAGGGGGCCCUGCUCUGCUCCCCAGCCCCCACUGGAGGCACCAAGCCAGCCUUUCGGGCAGCACCCAAGUGCCCCAGCAAACAAACAGGCGGGUAUGGUGACAGCUGAGGCUUAGAGACCUGAGCACCCUGGCUCCCAGCCCAUUCCCUGGCGGUGCCCAGUGCUGAGCUGGGGGAGGAGAAAGGCCCCGGCCACUGGUGCCCGGACCACACUCCACUCUGUGUUAUGACCCUCAGAGACCCCAGGCCACCUCAGAGACCCACACAAGGGACAACAGAGGCCCAGGCCCAGGUGAGGCAGAAGCCAGGGCUAAGGCCAGGGCAGGAGGAGUGGAGAGGAGCCCCGGGGCUUGAUGGCAUCCGCAUGGCCAGUGCCUGCCGUGGAGAUGGCAGGAGACUGGCUGAGCAGGAAGCCCCGAGGAUACGCCUGUCAUCCAACAGACCACGCAGAGCCAGGUGGGGGUCUCCUGCUAUCCCAGAUUCCUGGUUCUGAUUUUCUUCUUAGGUUCACAAUUUUGACUUAAAAAAAAACCCCAAUUCUGAAUCCAUCAAGAACUCGUCUCUGUAUUUCAAAUUAAAACCUGAAGAAUGGCCUGUUAUUCCCAUAGACCAUGUUCUUUUAAAUAAUUACAAAUAGCAAAAAUUUCAAA
This is a non-coding RNA of Ictidomys tridecemlineatus (thirteen-lined ground squirrel), 1594 nucleotides long. Lineage: Eukaryota; Metazoa; Chordata; Mammalia; Rodentia; Sciuridae. The record is from RefSeq and is a predicted model, not a curated record.